GUAGACAUAGUUUAAUAUAAAACAUUAAAUGGGGAUUCUAAAAAGGGGGGUUAAACUCCCCUUGUCCACC
This 70-nucleotide transfer RNA is filed under the name Liobagrus marginatoides. RNAcentral's name for it is "tRNA-His". It matches the Rfam family "tRNA". Rfam says of the family: Transfer RNA (tRNA) molecules are approximately 80 nucleotides in length. Their secondary structure includes four short double-helical elements and three loops (D, anti-codon, and T loops). Lineage: Eukaryota; Metazoa; Chordata; Actinopteri; Siluriformes; Amblycipitidae. The record is from RNAcentral.